Bubo bubo (Eurasian eagle-owl) is the source of this 4551-nucleotide long non-coding RNA. NCBI's taxonomy places the organism in Eukaryota, Metazoa, Chordata, Aves, Strigiformes, Strigidae. The record is from Ensembl.
CUCAGAGAGACAGUACCUUUUGCUGAGUCCAGCAUAUGGCUAACAGGAGCUAUGUCAGCAGCUGAGACCACAGCAAGUCCUGAAGCCAACUGGAUUAGGAAGCCAUUGUAUGGAUUGUUUCAAUAUAAUUCCAGUAUGAUUGGACUAGAAUCAUUAGCUGAUCCCUCAGAUACCUGGGAAAUUAUAGAGACCAUUGGGAAAGGCACUUACGGUAAGGUCUAUAAGGUCGCCAAUAAGAAAGAUGGGAGUCUGGCAGCAGUAAAGAUUCUGGAUCCUAUCAGUGAUGUAGAUGAAGAAAUUGAAGCAGAAUAUAAUAUUUUGCAGUUUCUUCCCAAUCAUCCUAAUGUUGUUAGAUUUUAUGGGAUGUUUUACAAAGCAGAUCAAUAUGUGGGAGGACAGCUCUGGCUAGUACUUGAGCUGUGCAAUGGAGGUUCUGUCACAGAGCUUGUCAAAGGCCUGCUGAAGUGUGGCCAACGGUUGGAUGAAUCUAUAAUCUCAUACAUCUUAUGUGGUGCUCUCUUGGGCCUUCAGCAUUUACACAAUAACCGGAUCAUUCAUCGUGAUGUGAAAGGGAACAACAUUCUCCUGACAACAGAAGGUGGAGUCAAGCUCGUUGACUUUGGUGUUUCAGCCCAGCUCACCAGCACACGGCUGCGUAGAAACACCUCCGUGGGAACACCCUUUUGGAUGGCACCUGAGGUCAUUGCUUGUGAACAACAGUAUGACUACUCAUACGAUGCGCGAUGUGACGUAUGGUCCUUGGGAAUAACAGCUAUUGAACUGGGGGAUGGAGAUCCUCCUUUAUUUGACAUGCAUCCGGUGAAAACCCUUUUUAAGAUUCCAAGGAAUCCUCCUCCUACUUUGCUACAUCCUGAAAAAUGGUGCAGAGGAUUCAACCAUUUCAUUUCACAGUGUCUUAUCAAGGAUUUUGAAAAGCGUCCUUCAGUCACCCAUCUUUUGGAGCAUCCAUUUAUUAAACAAGUACAUGGUAAAGAUAUGUCUCUGCAAAAGCAGCUGGCUGAGCUAAUCCAAGAACAGCAGCAACUAGGCUCCAUAGCCAAAACAAGGCAUGAACGAAUACAUACUAGAAGACCUUACCAUGUGGAUGGAGCUGACAGGUACUCUCUAGAUGACGAUCUGGUAAAUCUGGAAGUUCUAGAUGAGGAUACAAUUAUCCAUCAGCUGCAGAAACGCUAUGCUGACUUACAAAUUUAUACUUAUGUUGGAGACAUUUUAAUAGCCUUAAACCCCUUCCAGAAUCUCAGCAUUUAUUCUCCCCAGUUCUCCAAGCUUUACCAUGGUGUGAAGCGUUCAUCAAAUCCCCCCCACAUAUUUGCCUCUGCAGAUGCUGCCUACCAAAGUAUGGUUACCUUCAGCAAAGAUCAGUGCAUUAUCAUCAGUGGGGAAAGUGGUGCUGGAAAGACAGAAAGUGCCCAUCUGAUUGUCCAACAUUUGACCUUCUUGGGAAAGGCCAAUAACCGUGCUUUGCGUGAGAAAAUUCUUCAGGUGAAUCCUCUGGUUGAAGCAUUUGGGAAUGCCUGCACUGCCAUCAAUGACAACUCAAGUCGCUUCGGAAAAUACCUGGAAAUGAUGUUUACACCUACAGGAGCUGUAAUGGGGGCAAAGAUUUCUGAAUAUCUACUUGAAAAAUCAAGGGUCAUAAAACAGGCUGUGGGAGAAAAAAAUUUCCAUAUAUUUUAUUAUAUUUAUGCUGGCCUUUAUCACCAGAGGAAACUUUCUGAAUAUAGACUUCCCGAUAAAAAGCCUCCUAGAUAUAUUGAUAAUGAAACUGGAAGAGUCAUGCAUGAUAUUGUUACUAAAGAUUCCUAUGGAAGACAGUUUGAAGCAAUUCAGCAUUGUUUUAGAAUUAUAGGAUUCACUGACGAGGAAGUGUACUCAGUGUACAGAAUUCUGACUGGAAUCUUAAAUACUGGAAAUAUUGAGUUUGCUGCCAUUUCUUCACAACACCAAACAGAUAAAAGUGAGGUUCCCAACCCAGAAGCCUUAGAUAAUGCUGCUGCACUACUAAGUAUUGGGUCAGAAGAACUUCAAGAGGCCCUAACCUCCCAUUGUGUUGUAACACGAGGGGAGACUAUUAUCCGAACAAACACAGUGGACAAAGCAGCUGACGUGCGAGAUGCCAUGUCUAAAGCACUUUAUGGCCGGCUCUUCAGCUGGAUCGUAAAUCGUAUUAAUACGCUGCUUCAGCCAGAUAAAAAUAUAUGCAAUGCUGAAAAUGGGAUGAAUGUUGGAAUACUAGACAUAUUUGGAUUUGAGAACUUCGCAAGAAAUUCCUUUGAACAGCUGUGCAUAAAUAUUGCUAAUGAACAGAUCCAGUUUUAUUUCAAUCAACAUAUCUUUGCACUUGAGCAGAUGGAAUAUCAGAGUGAGGGAAUUGAUGCUGCUACAGUGGAGUAUGAGGACAACCGUCCACUUCUAGAUAUGUUCCUCCAGAAACCCAUGGGUCUCCUGUCUCUACUAGAUGAAGAAAGUCGAUUUCCUCAGGCAACAGACCUAACUUUAGUUGAUAAAUUUGAAGAUAACUUACGAUGCAAAUACUUUUGGAGACCAAAAGGAGUAGAACUGUCAUUUGGUAUUCAGCACUAUGCUGGAAAGGUUUUAUAUGAUGCCUGUGCAUUCCUUGAGAAGAACAGAGACACUCUUCCUGCUGAUGUAGUAGUGGUGUUGCGAACCUCAGAGAACAAACUUCUUCAGCAGCUGUUCUCUAGCCCAUUAACAAAAACAGGUAUUUUCUGCACAGCUUUGCUAACAUUGCAAUCUCUUCAUUUUGUCUUCCAGGUUGACACAAUGGAAGUUAUGCGACACCCUGAGGAAACAACUAACAUGAAGCGGCAAACUAUGGCUUCUUAUUUUAGGUAUUCCCUCAUGGAUCUUUUAUCCAAAAUGGUUGUUGGACAGCCUCACUUUAUCCGCUGCAUUAAACCUAAUGAUGAUCGAGAAGCACUGAUGUUUUCUCAUGAGAGAGUUCUACUGCAGCUACAAUACACUGGAAUUCUGGAAACUGUCAAAAUACGUCAAAAAGGGUAUUCUCAUCGCAUCCUCUUUGAAGAGUUUGUGAAAAGGUAUUAUUACCUUGCAUUCAAGGCACACGAGACUCCCCUUGGUAGCAGAGAAAAUUGCCUUGCCAUUUUGGAGAAAUCUAAACUAGACAACUGGAUUCUUGGGAAAACCAAGGUUUUUCUAAAGUAUUAUCAUAUAGAGCAGUUAAACUUGUUCCUGCGAGAAGUUAUAGGGAGGGUGGUGGUCAUGCAAGCCUAUAUCAAGGGAUGGCUUGGAGCAAGGAGGUACAAGAAAGUCAAAGAGAAAAGAGAAAAUAGUGCUGUUACCAUACAGUCAGCCUGGAGAGGAUAUGAAGCUCGCAGGAAGUACAAGGAAAUAAGGAACAGAAGAACUGAUGCUGCUAUACAUAUUCAAGCAGGUAAUUAUUUCAAUUGCCAACACCUAUUUUAUCACAACUAUAAGUUAUCAUGGCAGAGUGGAAUCAAUAUGUUUCUUAUGUACCUAAACCAGCAUUCUUUAUUCCAGAAGGAUUUGGAUGAGAUUUCUCACCUGGCACAGCUUAAAACUAAAUUGUGUUAUGUUACUGUAGGUUCAGAAAACUGUCUUGAACAGAAGCUGAGAACACCUCGUCGACGAUGUCAGCAGCCCAAAAUGCUGAAUAGCCCUGAGGACAACAUGUACUAUAACCAGUUAAACGGAACUCUAGAAUAUCAAGGGAGCAAGAGGAAGCCAAGAAAACUUGGCCAAAUCAAAGUGCUGGAUGGAGACGAUGAGUAUUACAAAUCAUUGUCAGCCAUUGAAUCUGUCCCUGAAGAUGACAGCUUUCUCAGUUCCCCAUCUUCUUCAAGAGGUGUGUCUUUUGCUCAAAGCUGAACCUCACUUACUCUAUUGACCAAUACUGGUAAGAGUAUUUUCAUGCUGGUAAUCUCUUCCAAUUAACUUUGUGUGUGUGUGUUUAUAUAUAUAUUAAAUAUAUAUUAAAAAUACAUCUAUUAAAAAUACAGUUUCAGCUAGUAACUUUCUUUCACUAAUUUAUACCUUACUUCGCAGCUGUAAAUUGUCCCGUUUAGCUGUAUCUCUAUAAGCAAUUCCACUAAAGGGGAGGAGCACUACCUGCAUGUGUUGAUGUUGGUAACGGACACAUUUCUUUAGCAGCCAGGUUAGUUUAUACAGUUCCGACCCCUUCUUCCCUGCUCCCCCUGCCCCUGGCUGCUGUUCCCACCCUGUGCCAUCCCUUCUGUUGUGCUGGCACAACUGCUGGUAGAGCUGUGUGAAAAAUAAGAUCAAGGAAUUGAACUGGAUUAAAAGAACUCUGUACUAAAAAUUUGUGUUUGGAAUCAUAGUAAAAAUGUUUUUUAUUUCAGUAGACUGGUAUUAAACAUUAUCCUUUGUAAGUUUCUGUGCUGUGUAUGGCUUUUAACACUACAAAAACAUACAGAGUAAAAUAAUCUGAAAUAAUAAUUGUGUCUCAAUUUACCUUGUCAGUAUUUUUCUUAUAAAGUAUUAGUUUGCCAUAAAUUUAACUUGAAG